RNAcentral lists this ribosomal RNA (636 nucleotides) under uncultured Gammaproteobacteria bacterium. Its description in RNAcentral is "bacterial SSU rRNA". It matches the Rfam family "Bacterial small subunit ribosomal RNA", at positions 94 to 726 of the family's 1533-position model. The record is from RNAcentral. Lineage: Bacteria; Pseudomonadati; Pseudomonadota; Gammaproteobacteria.
AGUGGCUUACGGGUGAGGAAUACAUCGGGACCUACCUAGACGUGGGGGAUAACGUAGGGAAACUUACGCUAAUACCGCAUACGUCCUACGGGAGAAAGCGGGGGAUCUUCGGACCUCGCGCGGUUAGACGGACCGAUGUUCGAUUAGCUAGUUGGUGGGGUAACGGCUUACCAAGGCGACGAUCGAUAGCUGGUCUGAGAGGAUGAUCAGCCACACUGGGACUGAGACACGGCCCAGACUCCUACGGGAGGCAGCAGUGGGGAAUAUUGGACAAUGGGCGCAAGCCUGAUCCAGCAAUGCCGCGUGUGUGAAGAAGGCCUUCGGGUUGUAAAGCACUUUUAUCAGGAGCGAAAUACCAUCGGCUAAUACCCGGUGGGGCUGACGGUACCUGAGGAAUAAGCACCGGCUAACUUCGUGCCAGCAGCCGCGGUAAUACGAAGGGUGCAAGCGUUAAUCGGAAUUACUGGGCGUAAAGCGUGCGUAGGCGGUGAGUUAAGUCUGCUGUGAAAUCCCCGGGCUCAACCUGGGAAUGGCAGUGGAUACUGGCUCGCUAGAGUGUGAUAGAGGAUGGUGGAAUUCCCGGUGUAGCGGUGAAAUGCGUAGAGAUCGGGAGGAACACCAGUGGCGAAGGCGGCC